GUUCGCUUCGGCGCACAUAUACUAAAACUGGAGUGAUACAGACAAGAUUCGCAUGGCCCCUGCACAAGGAAGACACGCGAAAUUCAUGAAGCAUUCCGUAUUUCA
Molecule: small nuclear RNA, 105 nt
Filed under: Chinchilla lanigera (long-tailed chinchilla)
Lineage: Eukaryota; Metazoa; Chordata; Mammalia; Rodentia; Chinchillidae
Source: RNAcentral